This 364-nucleotide ribosomal RNA is filed under the name uncultured Green Bay ferromanganous micronodule bacterium MNF2. RNAcentral's name for it is "bacterial SSU rRNA". It matches the Rfam family "Bacterial small subunit ribosomal RNA", at positions 145 to 523 of the family's 1533-position model. Lineage: Bacteria; Deltaproteobacteria. The record is from RNAcentral.
AACGCUCCGAAAGGGGUGCUAAGACCGCAUACGGGCCAGCGGCGUAGUGACCGGUGGCCGAAAGUCUUCGGACGCUCUGGGAGGGGGCUGCGGCCCCAUCAGGUGGUUGGUGAGGUAACGGCUCACCAAGCCGACGACGGGUCGGGGGUCUGAGAGGAUGACCCCCACACUGGGACUGAGACACGGCCCAGACUCCUACGGGAGGCAGCAGUGAGGAAUCUUGCACAAUGGGCGAAAGCUUGAUGCAGCGACGCCGCGUGGGCGAGGAAGGUCUUCGGAUCGUAAAGCCCUUUUCUGCGUGACGAGACAAGGACGGUAGCGCAGGAAGAAGCGUCGGCUAACUACGUGCCAGCAGCCGCGGUAA